Caenorhabditis elegans is the source of this 114-nucleotide regulatory RNA element. It matches the Rfam family "Potassium channel RNA editing signal". Rfam says of the family: This family represents a group of sequences related to the human potassium channel Kv1.1 hairpin element which directs the efficient modification of an adenosine to inosine by an adenosine deaminase acting on RNA (ADAR). The record is from Rfam. Lineage: Eukaryota; Metazoa; Nematoda; Chromadorea; Rhabditida; Rhabditidae.
CUUGGAUACGGAGACAUGGUUCCAUCAACAAUAAUGGGUAAAAUAGUUGGAGGAGUAUGCUCACUGUCUGGAGUGUUGGUUAUUGCUCUUCCAGUUCCAGUUAUUGUCAGCAAU